UGGGCUAUAGCCAAGCGGUAAGGCAACGGACUUUGACUCCGUCACUCGUUGGUUCGAAUCCAGCUAGCCCAGUUA
This 75-nucleotide transfer RNA is filed under the name Staphylococcus aureus subsp. aureus Mu3. RNAcentral describes it as "tRNA-Gln". It matches the Rfam family "tRNA". Rfam says of the family: Transfer RNA (tRNA) molecules are approximately 80 nucleotides in length. Their secondary structure includes four short double-helical elements and three loops (D, anti-codon, and T loops). Further hydrogen bonds mediate the characteristic L-shaped molecular structure. tRNAs have two regions of fundamental functional importance: the anti-codon, which is responsible for specific mRNA codon recognition, and the 3' end, to which the tRNAs corresponding amino acid is attached (by aminoacyl-tRNA synthetases). tRNAs cope with the degeneracy of the genetic code in two manners: having more than one tRNA (with a specific anti-codon) for a particular amino acid; and 'wobble' base-pairing, i.e. permitting non-standard base-pairing at the 3rd anti-codon position. RNAcentral also lists the same sequence under 2 other names. The record is from RNAcentral. Lineage: Bacteria; Bacillati; Bacillota; Bacilli; Caryophanales; Staphylococcaceae.